Molecule: ribosomal RNA, 1028 nt
Filed under: Emericellopsis minima
Lineage: Eukaryota; Fungi; Ascomycota; Sordariomycetes; Hypocreales; Bionectriaceae
Description: LSU rRNA
Rfam family: Eukaryotic large subunit ribosomal RNA
Source: RNAcentral
AAAGAAACCAACAGGGAUUGCCCCAGUAACGGCGAGUGAAGCGGCAACAGCUCAAAUUUGAAAUCUGGCCUCGUGCCCGAGUUGUAAUUUGUAGAGGAUGCUUUUGGCGACGCGCCUUCCGAGUUCCCUGGAACGGGACGCCAUAGAGGGUGAGAGCCCCGUCCGGUCGUGCGCCUAGCCUCUGUAAAGCUCCUUCGACGAGUCGAGUAGUUUGGGAAUGCUGCUCUAAAUGGGAGGUAUACGUCUUCUAAAGCUAAAUACCGGCCAGAGACCGAUAGCGCACAAGUAGAGUGAUCGAAAGAUGAAAAGCACUUUGAAAAGAGGGUUAAAUAGUACGUGAAAUUGCUGAAAGGGAAGCGCUUAUGACCAGACUUGGGCGCGGCGGAUCAUCCGGCGUUCUCGCCGGUGCACUCCACCGCCCCAGGCCAGCAUCAGUUCGCGCCGGGGGACAAAGGCUUCGGGAAUGUGGCUCUCUCGGGAGUGUUAUAGCCCGCUGCGUAAUACCCUGGCGCGGACUGAGGUCCGCGCUCUGCAAGGAUGCUGGCGUAAUGGUCAUCAGUGACCCGUCUUGAAACACGGACCAAGGAGUCGUCUUCGUAUGCGAGUGUUCGGGUGUCAAACCCCUACGCGGAAUGAAAGUGAACGUAGGAGAGAGCUUCGGCGCAUCUCCGACCGAUCCUGAUGUUCUCGGAUGGAUUUGAGUAAGAGCAUACGGGCCGGACCCGAAAGAAGGUGAACUAUGCCUGUGUAGGGUGAAGCCAGAGGAAACUCUGGUGGAGGCUCGCAGCGGUUCUGACGUGCAAAUCGAUCGUCAAACAUGGGCAUGGGGGCGAAAGACUAAUCGAACCUUCUAGUAGCUGGUUUCCGCCGAAGUUUCCCUCAGGAUAGCAGUGUUGAACUCAGUUUUAUGAGGUAAAGCGAAUGAUUAGGGACCCGGGGGCGCUAUAUUGCCUUCAUCCAUUCUCAAACUUUAAAUAUGUAAGAAGCUCUUGUUGCUUAGUUGAACGUGAGCAUUCGAAUGUAUCAAC